RNAcentral lists this long non-coding RNA (232 nucleotides) under Brassica napus (rape). Its description in RNAcentral is "long non-coding RNA (BNAP_LNC012370)". The record is from RNAcentral. Lineage: Eukaryota; Viridiplantae; Streptophyta; Magnoliopsida; Brassicales; Brassicaceae.
AUUGAUAAAUUGAAUAUGUACAUUUAUAACAAAAAAAUAAGAUUUUGUUCUAUUCUAUUUACAAACCUAGAAUAGAAUUGUUAUUAUACAAUCUCUCUUUUUUCUAUCUCUCACUCUAUCAUUCUUCCCGAUCUCUAUCUAUAAAUCCCUCUAUCAUUUCUUCUGAAUCAAUAUUUCUCUUUUUUCUCUAUCUUUUUCUUUCUCCCUCUCUCCCUCCCUCUCGGUAUCCCUC